RNAcentral lists this ribosomal RNA (254 nucleotides) under uncultured bacterium. Its description in RNAcentral is "partial 16S ribosomal RNA". It matches the Rfam family "Bacterial small subunit ribosomal RNA", at positions 524 to 776 of the family's 1533-position model. The record is from RNAcentral.
GACGAACCGUGCGAACGUUAUUCGGAAUCACUGGGCUUAAAGCGCGUGUAGGCGGGUCGGCACGUCGGUCGCUGAAAGCCCCCGGCUCAACCGGGGAACGGGCGCCGAUACGACCGGCCUGGAGGGACGUAGGGGGACCUGGAACUUCCGGUGGAGCGGUGAAAUGCGUUGAGAUCGGAAGGAACGCCCGUGGCGAAAGCGAGGUCCUGGACGGUUUCUGACGCUGAGACGCGAAAGCCAGGGGAGCGAACGGG